This 26-nucleotide non-coding RNA is filed under the name Arabidopsis thaliana (thale cress). The record is from RNAcentral. Lineage: Eukaryota; Viridiplantae; Streptophyta; Magnoliopsida; Brassicales; Brassicaceae.
GCACCAAGGUUGGAGGAGCGGUCUAG